AAAUUGAAGAGUUUGAUCAUGGCUCAGAUUGAACGCUGGCGGCGGCCUAACACAUGCAAGUCGAACGGUAACAGGAAGAAGCUUGCUUCUUUGCUGACGAGUGGCGGACGGGUGAGUAAUGUCUGGGAAACUGCCUGAUGGAGGGGGAUAACUACUGGAAACGGUAGCUAAUACCGCAUAACGUCGCAAGCCAAAGAGGGGGACCUUCGGCCCUCUUGCCAUCGGAUGUGCCCAGAUGGGAUUAGCUAGUAGGUGGGGUAACGGCUCACCUAGGCGACGAUCCCUAGCUGGUCUGAGAGGAUGACCAGCCACACUGGAACUGAGACACGGUCCAGACUCCUACGGGAGGCAGCAGUGGGGAAUAUUGCACAAUGGGCGCAAGCUGAUGCAGCCAUGCCGCGUGUAUGAAGAAGGCUUCGGGUUGUAAAGUACUUUCAGCGGGGAGGAAGGGAGUAAAGUUAAUACCUUUGCUCAUUGACGUUACCCGCAGAAGAAGCACCGGCUAACUCCGUGCCAGCAGCCGCGGUAAUACGGAGGGUGCAAGCGUUAAUCGGAAUUACUGGGCGUAAAGCGCACGCAGGCGGUUUGUUAAGUCAGAUGUGAAAUCCCCGGGCUCAACCUGGGAACUGCAUCUGAUACUGGCAAGCUUGAGUCUCGUAGAGGGGGGUAGAAUUC
RNAcentral lists this ribosomal RNA (675 nucleotides) under Escherichia coli. RNAcentral describes it as "bacterial SSU rRNA". It matches the Rfam family "Bacterial small subunit ribosomal RNA", at positions 1 to 669 of the family's 1533-position model. The record is from RNAcentral. Lineage: Bacteria; Pseudomonadati; Pseudomonadota; Gammaproteobacteria; Enterobacterales; Enterobacteriaceae.